UCUCUCGCCUCUCUUCACUCUCUCUGUUUGGCCGAAAAUAGGAAGAAGAAAAGGGAAGAAAAAUCUAGCCAAAAUCCUUACAAAAUUACUUCAAUCCACUUCCAGAUUUCAUCAUCCAUUAGAGGGCUUUGAUCCUAGCUUGGAAGAGGGGGCUGUUCAUCGGUUUUCUUGGAGGAAUUUCGGUCAAGAUUUCUGCCCUAAAGCUGUCCAACUAAGUUCUUGAGAAUGAUUGAUGGAAUGAAGUUGGAAGAAAGUUAGAAAUUUGGAAAAGGAUCUCAAGAGGACUUCGAGGGAACUCCCGGCGAAGCGUCUUAGAGCUAAUUUCUCAAACUUUGACUUUUGAUACUUGGUUUGGAAGUGGAAGUUCUGAGGCUUAAUUAGUGACCCC
Non-coding RNA from Coffea arabica (coffee), 388 nucleotides. The record is from RefSeq and is a predicted model, not a curated record. NCBI's taxonomy places the organism in Eukaryota, Viridiplantae, Streptophyta, Magnoliopsida, Gentianales, Rubiaceae.